Small nucleolar RNA from Megalops cyprinoides (Indo-Pacific tarpon), 135 nucleotides. RefSeq annotates it as small nucleolar RNA SNORA14. The record is from RefSeq and is a predicted model, not a curated record. NCBI's taxonomy places the organism in Eukaryota, Metazoa, Chordata, Actinopteri, Elopiformes, Megalopidae. The transcript has a single exon.
CCGCAUUCUUAGAAAACCCCCCCGUAGUUUAUCGUAGCUGCGGGGACAAGGAAGAAUGCAAGAACAAUCCUAGAAUGAAGCAAAGCUAAAAGCCUCACUGUGGUAGCUCUUAGCACGUCUACCUCUUGGACACUG